This 609-nucleotide ribosomal RNA is filed under the name uncultured fungus. RNAcentral describes it as "eukaryotic LSU rRNA". The stretch from base 206 to 359 matches the Rfam family "5.8S ribosomal RNA". The record is from RNAcentral. Lineage: Eukaryota; Fungi.
AAUGGAAGAGAGAGAGUUGCUGGCCGUCAGCGGCAUGUGCACGCCCUGAUCAUUAUCCAUCUCACACACCUGUGCACACACUGUAGGUCGGUUUGUGGCUGGAGUGGGCACUCUGUGUCUGCUUUGGUUGUAGGCCUUCCUAUGUUUUAUUACAAACUACUUCAGUUUAAAGAAUGUCACUCCUGCGUCUAACGCAUUUAAAUACAACUUUCAGCAACGGAUCUCUUGGCUCUCGCAUCGAUGAAGAACGCAGCGAAAUGCGAUAAGUAAUGUGAAUUGCAGAAUUCAGUGAAUCAUCGAAUCUUUGAACGCACCUUGCGCUCCUUGGUAUUCCGAGGAGCAUGCCUGUUUGAGUGUCAUGGAAUUCUCAACUCUAUUUGCUUUUGUGAAUAGAGCUUGGACUUGGAGGUUUAUUGCCGGUACACCUGUGAUCGGCUCCUCUUGAAUGCAUUAGCUCGAACCUGUGUGGAUCAGCUAUCGGUGUGAUAAUUGUCUACGCCGUUGCUGUGAAGCAUGUUAAUGGGGGUCGGCUUCCAAUCGUCCUUUUACUCGGGGACAAUGACUUUGACCUUUGACCUCAAAUCAGGUAGGAUUACCCGCUGAACUUAA